CUAAUUUGAAUUUGGGGAAUACUGGGCGUGGUACAUGUUUAAUCUUACUAUAGUUAAAUGGGGAGCAUACUGACAGGUUUAAUUUUAUUUUUAUGCUUAUUAUGUGGUGACUGGUUAGGAAGUGCUGGCCUGCUGCCAUAUGAGGUAACUCUCACGUCGACAGGUUUUAUUUGCCCACAGGCAAUUAGUUCAGGCAUUUAAAGGGUUAAUCGAACCAUCAUGACUACUUCUGAUUUUUGAAGUAAUCAUGUGGUAGGAGUCUGGAUGCGCAAUGUUUCAGCUUGAAACUCUGUACAUCCAGAGUUAUUUUUAGUUGUGUGGUCGGAGCUAGUUACACCGCUCAGCACACGUGACCUAGGGAGACCGGAAUUCUUCUAUGGGCUACCUAAUGUCAAUUCUGUGCUUUUUAAAUCGUUAUUAUUUUUGAUUGGACCUCCUCGUAUCUCCCAUGACUUUAGAUGGGAUUGUGCCGACUAGUUUGGGAGCUUUGCCCAGCACUACUGUGAACAAUGUCUGGAUAUUGCAGUCCUAUGCCCCAUGUGGUACUGGAUAUCUGGAUAGUUUUGCACCAUUUAGCAAGGGACAAUCAAACACAAAUGGAUAACCUCUUAAAAUUCACCCAGUUGACAGGUGACUGUCAUUGUUAUGGCAAUCACUUGUUACCUAGAGAGACAUAUUACCCUAAAUAUGAGGAAAUAUAUUGCCCCCUCUUUCCUAUGAGGGGUACUGUUUGUGUGUCAUAUGUUGUUAUUAGGGAAUAGGGCUUUCGUUAGAGCCCUAUUCUCCUAAAUAGUUAAAGUAGAUUGAGUAAGUGAUGGCUAAUUGUAUGGCUAUCACUGACGUGUGAAAUGGGUGUUAAAUCCCACACUCGAAAGUGGAGUACCCCCUCUUUCAAUAACGAUUUUUAGCAGAUUCCCAAUUUUGCAGUGAACAUCUGCAACUUAGGGGAACAAGUGACUCCUCA
This is a non-coding RNA of Pelobates cultripes (western spadefoot toad), 964 nucleotides long. The record is from the annotation of a GenBank genome assembly. NCBI's taxonomy places the organism in Eukaryota, Metazoa, Chordata, Amphibia, Anura, Pelobatidae.